Molecule: microRNA, 22 nt
Filed under: Macaca mulatta (Rhesus monkey)
Lineage: Eukaryota; Metazoa; Chordata; Mammalia; Primates; Cercopithecidae
Also listed under: 2 other names
Description: Mml-Mir-2276_3p (mature (co-guide))
Source: RNAcentral
UCUGCAAGUGUCAGAGGCGAGG